RNAcentral lists this transfer RNA (74 nucleotides) under Gemmatimonadota bacterium. RNAcentral describes it as "tRNA-Pro". It matches the Rfam family "tRNA". From Rfam's summary of the family: Transfer RNA (tRNA) molecules are approximately 80 nucleotides in length. Their secondary structure includes four short double-helical elements and three loops (D, anti-codon, and T loops). The record is from RNAcentral. Lineage: Bacteria; Pseudomonadati; Gemmatimonadota. RNAcentral also lists the same sequence under 2 other names.
CGGGGUGUGGCGCAGUCCGGUAGCGCGUCUGCUUUGGGAGCAGAAGGUCCCGGGUUCGAAUCCCGGCGCCCCGA